RNAcentral lists this small RNA (324 nucleotides) under Oryza sativa Japonica Group (Japanese rice). RNAcentral's name for it is "sRNA OsFbox045". Lineage: Eukaryota; Viridiplantae; Streptophyta; Magnoliopsida; Poales; Poaceae. The record is from RNAcentral.
GGCGGUGCCAACUGCCAUGUGCCCAAAUAACUGUGAGCCUCUCUAGGUGCUAUUGCAUCAGCAGUACUGCAGACAAUCCCCACUGGUCGUUGAGGGUUCCUUCACAGCCUCUGUAGCCUGUAGGAUAGGGAAGACUUUAGAGCCGAACGAAGCCUUUUUUUUCACUGUAUACACACUUAUGUUCAGCAUACUGACAUACACUAGUUUAAACGACCAUACCUAACCUAGCUAGAAUCUUUAGUGAAGUGGGAUGGUGAUCCAUAAACUUGUAUGGAUAUGUUAUCUAGAUAUUCGAUCUUAAAAUACACUUUUGAGUCCCAAACU